Molecule: long non-coding RNA, 367 nt
Organism: Ostrinia nubilalis (European corn borer)
Lineage: Eukaryota; Metazoa; Arthropoda; Insecta; Lepidoptera; Crambidae
Exons: 3
Source: RefSeq, a predicted model, not a curated record
GCGAACCGCGACGCAGGCGCACGUUGCCGCGACCUGGCCACCAAAACAACGAAACGCGGUGUUCGAAUUACGAAAUUCAAAUUUUCGAAUCAGUGGAAGCAGUGCCCGUUUCUGUGACGUUCAAAAAAGAAUAUCAGUGACAGAUCUUCACAGUGCACCCUUUUGUUCUUUUGUUGUUUUGCACCAGCUGUCAAAAUAUUGCACAGCGAACCAAGAUUGACCGUUCAUCAAUUGUCUUCAUACAGAUCCACGUACUGCUGACCUACAAAAAAAUAAAUACACCAGAUACGAACGAGAAAAAAGAUCCAAUCACUUGGAUGUAGACCGAACGAUGACAGAUUAGACAGAGACAAGCCGCACAGCGAGA